AAUGGGUUGGCAGAUAAAUGCAAAUAAUUUAGGAUUAUUAUAUGAAGAUUUUCACCUAUUA
RNAcentral lists this transfer RNA (61 nucleotides) under Glossiphonia concolor. RNAcentral's name for it is "tRNA-Leu". Lineage: Eukaryota; Metazoa; Annelida; Clitellata; Rhynchobdellida; Glossiphoniidae. The record is from RNAcentral.